This 920-nucleotide ribosomal RNA is filed under the name uncultured bacterium. RNAcentral describes it as "bacterial SSU rRNA". It matches the Rfam family "Bacterial small subunit ribosomal RNA", at positions 33 to 945 of the family's 1533-position model. The record is from RNAcentral.
ACGCUAGCGAUAGGCUUAACACAUGCAAGUCGAGGGGCAGCAUGGUCUUAGCUUGCUAAGACUGAUGGCGACCGGCGCACGGGUGCGUAACGCGUAUGCAACUUGCCUCACAGAGGGGGAUAACCCGUCGAAAGACGGACUAAUACCGCGUACGCUCUAUGUUGGGCAUCCAAUGUAGAGGAAAUGAACUUCGCUGUGAGAUAGGUAUGCGUCCCAUUAGCUAGUUGGUGAGGUAACGGCUCACCAAGGCGACGAUGGGUAGGGGAACUGAGAGGUUGAACCCCCACACUGGUACUGAGACACGGACCAGACUCCUACGGGAGGCAGCAGUGAGGAAUAUUGGUCAAUGGGCGAGAGCCUGAACCAGCCAAGUCGCGUGAAGGAUGACUGUCUUAUGGAUUGUAAACUUCUUUUAUACGGGAAUAACAAGAGCCACGUGUGGCUCCCUGCAUGUACCGUAUGAAUAAGCAUCGGCUAACUCCGUACCAGCAGCCGCGGUAAUACGGAGGAUGCGAGCGUUAUCCGGAUUUAUUGGGUUUAAAGGGUGCGUAGGCGGCCUGUUAAGUCAGCGGUGAAAUCUAGGAGCUUAACUCCUAAAUUGCCAUUGAUACUGGCGGGCUUGAGUGUAGAUGAGGUAGGCGGAAUGCGCGGUGUAGCGGUGGAAUGCAUAGAUAUCACGCAGAACUCCGAUUGCGAAGGCAGCUUACUAAGGUACAACUGACGCUGAAGCACGAAAGCGUGGGUAUCAAACAGGAUUAGAUACCCUGGUAGUCCACGCAGUAAACGAUGAUAACUGGGCGUAUGCGAUAUACAGUAUGCUCCUAAGCGAAAGCGUUAAGUUAUCCACCUGGGGAGUACGCCGGCAACGGUGAAACUCAAAGGAAUUGACGGGGGCCCGCACAAGCGGAGGAACAUGUGGU